Non-coding RNA from Gekko japonicus, 72 nucleotides. NCBI's taxonomy places the organism in Eukaryota, Metazoa, Chordata, Lepidosauria, Squamata, Gekkonidae. The record is from the annotation of a RefSeq genome assembly.
GGGGCUGUGGCUCAGUGGUAGAACCUCUGCUUUGAAUGCAGAAGGUCCCAAGUUCAAUCCAUGGCAUCCCUA